This 73-nucleotide transfer RNA is filed under the name Felis catus (domestic cat). It matches the Rfam family "tRNA". From Rfam's summary of the family: Transfer RNA (tRNA) molecules are approximately 80 nucleotides in length. Their secondary structure includes four short double-helical elements and three loops (D, anti-codon, and T loops). The record is from Rfam by way of RNAcentral. Lineage: Eukaryota; Metazoa; Chordata; Mammalia; Carnivora; Felidae.
GCCCAGCUGGCUCAGUCGGUGGAGCAUGUGACUCUUGAUCUCACGGAUGUGAGUUUGAACCCCAUGUUGGGUA